GUCGGCUCAGCAAAUAUCCAGCCCAAAAUACACCACUAGUGGUCUGUUCUUAAAGACCAAAGAACCAGGCCCUUUUUCUUCCUCCUUUCUUGCUGCUACCCCUCAACUAUUUCAUUGCUUGUCAAUGCUCAGCAAGGAAGACAGCCUAACAGCAGCCCUCCCACCUGUGGUUGCUUGCUCCCCCUGUUACGUACAACCACAAGUCAGCCACAGAAUUCUGCACACAACCCAUUGUGCAAGGCUGUGGAGCUGCCUCAGAGUGAGACCCAGAGACAAAGCAGCCAUUUAGCUUGCCUUCUUUUAGCUACUCAACAAUGAAACAUUUUCACAGAAAGACACCUGGAGGUGGAAGACUUGUCACCGGUACUUCAGAUGAAGCAGGUUUCACAUGCUUACCUAGGAAUGCUCCUUGACAAGAUAAUCUCCUCAGACAUAAGCCCGGUCACAGAAAAGUCUCUCUAAGAAUUUUACCCGUCCAUCUGGAGUUGGCGAAAGGUGUGAUACCCCAGCAAACCUUUUAGCUAAAGGAUGUCAAUUAAACUUCAUCGAAAACCCUGUCUCCCAAGUAGAAAUACUUAAAAAUAAGCCUCUCAGUGUAGGCAGACAGAAAAAUAGUUCUGACAUUGUUCAGAUUGCACCUCAAAGCUUGAUCCUUAAGUUGAGACCAGGUGGUGCGCAGACUCUGCAGGUGCAUGUCCGCCAGACUGAGGACUACCCGGUGGAUUUGUAUUACCUCAUGGACCUCUCUGCCUCCAUGGAUGAUGACCUCAACACAAUCAAGGAGCUGGGCUCCCGGCUUUCCAAAGAGAUGUCUAAAUUAACCAGCAACUUUAGACUGGGCUUUGGAUCUUUUGUAGAAAAACCUGUAUCCCCUUUUGUGAAAACAACACCGGAAGAAAUUGCCAACCCUUGCAGGCUAAGAAAGUAACAACAAAAUAUGAACAUUUGUUAGAAAAUGAACUCUUGCCUGUAAUCCCAGCACUUUUGGAGGCCGAGGCAGGCAGAUUGCUUGAGCUCAGGAGUUCAUGACCAGCUUGGGCAACAUGUAGUAUUCCAUACUUCUGUUUACCUACAUUUGGAUUCAAGCAUAUUUUGCCAUUGACAAAUGAUGCUGAAAGAUUCAAUGAAAUUGUGAAGAAUCAGAAAAUUUCUGCUAAUAUUGACACACCCGAAGGUGGAUUUGAUGCAAUUAUGCAAGCUGCUGUGUGUAAGGAAAAAAUUGGCUGGCGGAAUGACUCCCUCCACCUCCUGGUCUUUGUGAGUGAUGCUGAUUCUCAUUUUGGAAUGGACAGCAAACUAGCAGGCAUCGUCAUUCCUAAUGACGGGCUCUGUCACUUGGACAGCAAGAAUGAAUACUCCAUGUCAACUGUCUUGGAAUAUCCAACAAUUGGACAACUCAUUGAUAAACUGGUACAAAACAAUGUGUUAUUGAUCUUCGCUGUAACCCAAGAACAAGUUCAUUUAUAUGAGAAUUACGCAAAACUUAUUCCUGGAGCUACAGUAGGGCUACUUCAGAAGGACUCCGGAAACAUUCUCCAGCUGAUCAUCUCAGCUUAUGAAG
This 1561-nucleotide small RNA is filed under the name Pongo abelii (Sumatran orangutan). RNAcentral describes it as "processed transcript". The record is from RNAcentral. Lineage: Eukaryota; Metazoa; Chordata; Mammalia; Primates; Hominidae.